This 227-nucleotide long non-coding RNA is filed under the name Setaria italica (foxtail millet). RNAcentral describes it as "long non-coding RNA (SITA_LNC002367)". The record is from RNAcentral. Lineage: Eukaryota; Viridiplantae; Streptophyta; Magnoliopsida; Poales; Poaceae.
GCCGAUUGGGUCCAAGGUGACCUCAACUGGAUGCAACUGACAUAACUGAGUGAGGAGUUGUAGAGCAGCCGACUCCCAUGUAUCUUCCAAGGCGUGUCCGUAUGUCGAGACUCCGAGCUGGGGCCACUCGGGCCGCACAGGGGGUGGAGGUACCACCGCCUGCACGUUGCACCUCUGUACGCCGUGCUCCAGGUAUAUCCGUCCAACAUACAAGGGCGGGGACUGAU